CAAAAAGCAUGUCCUCCUUGGAAAGUAUGCAGUGCCUCAGGAAAAUGUUUCAAACUUAGUGAGCAUACAUUUAUGUUAAUCAUUUGGUCCUUAUUUUAUAACUUUUCAUAAUUCUAGUCAUAAAUAGGUAACUUCAAACUCUGUUGCCUCAACAAAAUAUAAACUAUCCUGAUUUUGCCUGCUAUCAAAAGGAUAAUGACCCAGACAUAAAAGGAAGCCUGUAUCCAGCCGCUGAAAAUGUCAGUAUCUUGAGUGAAUACUCUGUUUCGUGGGACGAGAAGUAAGAGCUGAAUCUUCUGAAAGAACGCUAAAGAUAAAGCUCUCGUGGUCAUUGCUUCACAAUAAAACUCAGUAAUAAAAUCCACACUAAGUGUGCGUCCUGCUUUGACAGCUGAAAUGAAGGAGGCAUGUGGGUUAAAUUCAAAUGCAUUCUGGAGGACUGUACUGUGAAGAGCAGUUGCUGUGAUGACUUGAUUAUUUAUGAAAGUCAGAGUUACCAGUGGGAGAGAUAUAUUUGCUGUUGCCACUGAGAUUAUCACGGACUUUAAGAAAAUAGCUAUCUAUGGGGAACAUUAAUAGCAAGCAGUUGGACCCAAGAAGUUACAAUCCUGCUGUUGCCACUUGCCAUUCUGGACUCUCCCCCUGGAACUACAAACCAAAAUCAACUCUUUCUCCUGUAAGUCUGUUUUGUCAUGGUGUUUCAUCACAGCAGCAAAAGGAAGUUGUGUUACAGCUGUCAAAAAUGAUGGGCUACAUAAUCAGUAACAGCAAAUAGAGUAUUUCUUUGAAGCCAUUUCUGCUGGAAGGUGUGUAGAAUAUCCAUUGGAGAGUGCCAAAGAACACCUGCCAAGAAGUGAAACCCAGCAGUUGAAAGUCAGAGAUAAAUAAGGAACUGUGCUAUAACUGUCUGGAAAUCAUGAAAUAUUAGACUGGGAAGGCAUUGUGAGAGUACACAGUGAUCCCCUGUUUUAUGUGAUGAAGUGUUCUGGAGGGAAAUGAGUUAUCUCUGUGUAACCUGCUUUCACUGUUAGGUCUUGUGAAUGUGCAAUUGUGUCAAUAUAAAGGAAAAGGAGCCCUCUAUUUCCCAAAGCAAAGUGCAAGAAGCCCUACACAUUUUGAGCAUCAUGAAAAUGCAUACAACAAUGAGACCACUGAGCAAUUGGUCUGAAAAACGAAAAGCUAUUCCAUAACAAAGCUUGAGAAUAGGUUUUGCCUGGGAUUCUAAUCUCACCAUAAAUUCAGAGUAUUAGUGGACAAACUCUCCUGGAAAGGGAGCAGGCUGCUUCGCCUCACUGGUGAACUGAGAUGGAAACAGAGAAGGGUCUCUGAGGCUUGUCACUAAAGCUUAAAUGACUAUCCACGUUGGGAAAAUGACUGGAGAGAUACUAUUGGAAAGAAGUCAAAUAGAGAAGCAAAACUGAUGUCCAAAUCACCAGCUGCUCUCCUUGGAAGAGAAAAUUAGAUUCAUGCCACAGGACAGAAACCAGGAAAAAAAGGAAAGAAUUUUCUGUUUGAAAUUGGAAAACUGGAGGCAGUGCUGUUAGACCCCCGAAAACUCAAGUAUCCGGGGUCUCAGGCCAGGUUCACGGUCACCCCAAUCACCAGGCGGAUUCGAGAGCUUGCUGCAAACUGCACGAGGCUUUAUUGUAAUUUAACGAACUAACCCCAUGUUAGCUCGGGUCUUUCACCCACCCGCCAUGGCAGACGGCUAGAAAAAGACGGCUCCUAAGGUCUCC
This 1736-nucleotide long non-coding RNA is filed under the name Cricetulus griseus (Chinese hamster). RNAcentral describes it as "lncRNA (ENSCGRG00015038400.1)". Lineage: Eukaryota; Metazoa; Chordata; Mammalia; Rodentia; Cricetidae. The record is from RNAcentral.